Molecule: long non-coding RNA, 1862 nt
Filed under: Ananas comosus (pineapple)
Lineage: Eukaryota; Viridiplantae; Streptophyta; Magnoliopsida; Poales; Bromeliaceae
Description: long non-coding RNA (ACOM_LNC019773)
Source: RNAcentral
UCAUUGUACUCAUAAACCUUCAAUAAUAUUCAAUAAUUUUUUAUUUCAAAGUCGGAUCGGAUCGAAUAAUCUCCAAACCAUUUCAUCUUCACCUUUUUUUUCAUCAAACCACAAACAAUCAUCGUUCACUUAGGGCAUGUUUGUUUUGGUGUAAGUGGAGUGAUGGAACUCAAGUUCCAUCACUUCCGUUAUUUGUUUUGGUGUAAGUGAAAAAUAUAAUGUAACUUAAGUUACGUUAGAUCUCCAUUUCACCUAUUCUCGACUUCCUCCUCUAAAGUGCUGAACUCGACUUCCACCACACUCAACCUCCUCUAAAAUAUUUAUUAAACAGUAAAACCUAAACUCUACUUCCCUUAUAAUAGAUUAGAAUUACCUUAUUUAUAAUAAAUUAGGAUUAUCUUUAAAUAAUAAUAAAAAAUUAAUUAUAUAAUAAGUUAAAUUUUAUAGCGGUAAAUUUAUUAUUAUAUUUAGGAGAUAAUGAGAUCCAUUUACUUACAUCAAAACAAACAACAGAACUCACAAAACUAAUUUCACCGGCACCAAGUUACAUCAAAACAAAUAGAAAAAGUAAUUGAAUUUAACUUUCAGGCUAUACGAGUUACGUCAAAACAAACAACCAAAAAAUAAUCACACUUCAGGGAAACUCAAACACCACUGCACUUGACUUAUAUUGGAUCUACAGAUUCGUCAAUCCAAACGGAUUAGAGCCUGUUUGAAUGUUAUCUUUUUUGCAGUAUAGUUUAACUAUGCUAUGAGAAUAGAAAAAAUUUUCUAUGAGGUGUUUGGAGGGUUUAAAAACACACUAAUAAAUUAAAGUAUAGUUAAACUAUACUCUAAAAAAUAGGUUAAAAGUAAAGGGUUAAAUGCAUUCAUGUCCCUACAAACAUAGUGAAUUGCAAAUAUUUUCCUACAAAAUUCAACUUUCAUAUGUUGUCUUUUCAAAAGUUCUAAUAUUUUCAAAUAUAUCCCUCUGGUUUGUUACCGUUAUAGAAUUAUUUAUAUUUUAAGUGAAAUGUCAAUUUUGCCAUCACAAAUAUGUCCCUCCAAAAAUCACAACAGUAUAAUAUAAGAAUGACAAAAAUGUCAAGUUAUCUCAUAAUUUAAUCAGAGUUAAGCAUUUAACCUAUGAUUAGCUAAAGUUUUCUAACGAAUUCUAACGGCAGGGACAUUUUUUAAAACAUUAGGAUUUUUUGUAAGAACAAUAUAUAAAAGUUGAAUUUUAUAGGAAUAAUAUAUGAAAGUUGAAUUUUGUAGAAAUAUAUUUAUUAUUCAAUAUGUUUGUAGGAAAGUACAUGAAAUUAACCCAAAAGUAAAAUUUCAAUUAUUAUUGUUAUGAAAAUCCCAACUCCAUUCAUCGGGCCGCAUCCCCCUCCCUCUUUCUUCGCUCAUCUCUACCCCAAUCUCCCUCCCUCCGCCCUCUCCGCACCCCCCAAGCCGGAGCUACCUCCCUCCGCCGACUCCUGCUGACACCUUCCCCACCGCCCCUCGCCUUGCCAUGGCUGGAGAGGCGCCGCGCCACUUUCCUCCUCCAACUGGUAAAGAAGGAAUCAUUAGAUCUUUGGUUUAUAUAUAUAUUGAGUCCGGCUACUAUACUUUUAUGAGUAUUGGUUUCCUUAUACUCAUAAAUUUUUGGCCCUUAGAUUUAUUCCAUGAUCAUUUCCAUCCGUUAGAUCAUAUUAUUCAACCAACUACCCACUCAACCCUAGGAGACCAUUAUCAUUCUAAGUGGGGACCACCAUCAUCCUAACCACACAUCCCAUCAAUCAACAGUUAAAAAUUUAUUAGUACAAGAGGUUCUAUACUCAUAAGAGUAUAGUAGCCCCAGCCUAUAUAUAUAUAUAUAUAUAUAUAUAUAUUCAAUA